UACGAAGGGGGCUAGCGUUGUUCGGAAUCACUGGGCGUAAAGGGCGCGCAGGCGGCAUGACAAGUAAGGUGUGAAAUCUCCCUGCUCAACGGGGAGGGUGCAUUUUAGACUGUCAAGCUAGAGGACGGUAGAGGGGGGUAGAAUUGCUGGUGUAGCGGUGAAAUGCGUAGAGAUCAGCAGGAAUACCCGUGGCGAAGGCGGCCCCCUGGGCCGAACCUGACGCUGAGGCGCGAAGGCUAGGGGAGCGAACGGG
RNAcentral lists this ribosomal RNA (253 nucleotides) under uncultured bacterium. RNAcentral describes it as "partial 16S ribosomal RNA". It matches the Rfam family "Bacterial small subunit ribosomal RNA", at positions 524 to 776 of the family's 1533-position model. The record is from RNAcentral.